Molecule: ribosomal RNA, 254 nt
Filed under: uncultured bacterium
Lineage: Bacteria
Description: partial 16S ribosomal RNA
Rfam family: Bacterial small subunit ribosomal RNA
Source: RNAcentral
UACGUAGGGUGCGAGCGUUGUCCGGAAUUAUUGGGCGUAAAGAGCUCGUAGGCGGUGUGUCACGUCGGCCGUGAAAACCUGCAGCUUAACUGUGGGCGUGCGGUUGAUACGGGCAUCACUGGAGUUCGGCAGGGGAGACUGGAAUUCCUGGUGUAGCGGUGAAAUGCGCAGAUAUCAGGAGGAACACCGGUGGCGAAGGCGGGUCUCUGGGCCGAUACUGACGCUGAGGAGCGAAAGCGUGGGGAGCAAACAGG